GCACCUUAGACAAUUGAUUGGUC
Molecule: non-coding RNA, 23 nt
Filed under: Arabidopsis thaliana (thale cress)
Lineage: Eukaryota; Viridiplantae; Streptophyta; Magnoliopsida; Brassicales; Brassicaceae
Source: RNAcentral